Molecule: RNA transcript, 2308 nt
Organism: Sapajus apella (tufted capuchin)
Lineage: Eukaryota; Metazoa; Chordata; Mammalia; Primates; Cebidae
Exons: 1
Source: RefSeq, a predicted model, not a curated record
UCUGCUGGUCCGCAGAGGCGGAAGUCUGCUUUUCUCUGUGCCAGCGGUGCCCCCGGGAUUCCCGUCUUGAGGUGAACUGUUGUGCAGUGCACAACCCCUGCUUCCUUUGUUUCCUUGGAAUCAAAACGAGCGGCUACAAGGUAUCUCUUAGAGUGGACUUGUAAGUACAGCCCGGGCCAGUGGGGAAGAGCGAGGAGGAGGAGAGUGUGCAGACCAUUUUGUCUGUUCUUGCCUUGGUGUCAGCACUCACCAAAGAAACUGACAGUCGUACAGUGAAGAGAGCGGACUGCGGUUUGCACAGGUAGCUGGCUAGUCUGCAGGUCCUGGCAUCGCCACUUACAUACUGCGGGAGGCGCCCGCUGGCCGCUGUUUGCGCGCUGGGGACGCUCAGAGGCCUGGGAUCUGCGCGCCUCGCCAGCCAUCUGUGAUGUGGCAGCGCGCUAGGCGCGCCGGGCUGCUGACUUAGCGGGUUUGGGAUCCUCCGCCUACGCUCUGGGGCGCCCUGAAGCGCGGGUAGACACAUUAGGUUUUUUUCCUUAGCUGUCGGCGCAAGGUCCUUCGAAACUCUUGGGAUUGGAGAGAUCAAGAAGGCUUUAAGGGGCGGUGUGGAGGGGCGGCAAAGAGGAAAGUUUCCCCAGGGCACGCGUGGCGGAAGCUACAGCUGGCUCCCCCAGUAAAACCUGAAAGGACAAAUUUAUCCUUACGAUGUAGACUUUUUCCUCCUAAUUCACGCUCUUGUCCUUUUUGGAUCAGGGAAUAAUUCUGUUUAGCGCGUCCCAAAACUCACUGCAUUUGUUCCACAGUACAUCCAGAACACAAAGUUAGCAGAACUUUUUUUCCAAACAGAAAUUCAGGACUUUCAGUGGAAUGCCCAAAUAGUCCAUAGAUUAGCACUACCUGUGACAGCAGGCGGAUAGCUUAAAUAGCAGGGCCCUAAAGGAUUAGUUAGGAGGUGGCCUUCCUGGGGAGGCUAAGAAUCUUUUAUGGGAGGAGUAUUUGCUUCCUGGCAUGACCAUUCUGCUGUGCCAACGGUCUACGGAAACCACUUUUUUGCCCUUUGAAUUGUGCAGCGCCCCAGGCUUUCUCUCCGUCAGCUAUUCUUUAAGCCUUGCCACUCCUGCCCAGAAACUGCUUAAAAUCUUUGCUGUCCCAGAAAGGGAACUUAUUUAGCUACCCUGUUUGGAUGUAAAUUUCCAGUUACACGACGGAGAUCUAGAGGUUUGUCAUUGUUUGACCUAGCCUGUAAUUUUCUUAUGAAUAGUGGUUUUGUUUUCCAGAAAUUGCACAAAGUAAUUGAUCCCUACUCCUCUUUCCCUUCAACUGUACCUUUCGAAUGUUUGAAUUUGCUGUUUUGAGAACCAUGUUACAUUUAUAGAUUGCAAAAAUUGCCAGUGAAAAGAUCACUUGUUUAUAACUGCGAAGGUGAAAGGACAGCUCGGUCACUUAAAGCCAUUUUAUUGUUUGUUAGACUAAACAAAGCCUUCCUUUGCUGUCUCUUUCUGUAUUCUAAACUGGAAGUAGAUAUCAUAUCCCAGCUAAAUAGGGAAAGUUUUAGAACUUUGGGAAUAGUUUGUCUAUGUAUGUAUAAUGCUGAGAAGAGUCUGCAGUGAAGAAGAUAAGAUAGAUUUCUGCAGUACAACUGUUACUCAUUUGAAAAUUCAGUUUUGUUUUUGCUCACAUAAUCUCAGUAGAGCUAUAUCAGAAACCAAGUUUUUCUGCAUGUUAUACUAAAUUUUUAGAACAAAAUCCAUAUUUGAAAUAAUCCAAACCCCAAAUUUGCUCAUCUAAAUUAUGUCUUGGCCAGCAAGUAUUACAUUAAAAGUUUGGAGACUUCCAUUUAUUUGUGUCUUUUACAGAAUUGUGUGACAGUCAUUUUUUGGACGUUUGCUUUUUCUGCUUUGGAAGAUUUAUACAAGAAUGGAGAAUGAAUAUCCAACUGGAGCACAAUUGUCAAGGCAAUAGAGAAUUUAGAGAAAUAAAAUAGCUGCAUAUCUCUAAAGAGUGCCUGAUGCUUUCUUUCUCUUUAAAAUAUUUGUUCGAAGGUAAAGUACUGAUGCAUCAAAAUUGGCCUUCACGUUUCCUUGUGACAAUAAAAUAAUAAUGGUAAUGCUACAAUAAACUGGUUUCAGUAACACAUGCAUCUUUAUUUCAAUCAAAAUCUGUAUCUAUUUGUAUUUAUUUGCAUAAUUUAAAAUUAAAAUUAAAAUACAUUUAUUAAAAGGAGACCUUUCUGUACAGGUCAGGGAUCUGACAGAGAAAUAAGUGUAGUUUUCAACAGUAAAACUGAUUCUAGAUGGGUGAUUUCUUU